Molecule: ribosomal RNA, 164 nt
Filed under: Senecio otites
Lineage: Eukaryota; Viridiplantae; Streptophyta; Magnoliopsida; Asterales; Asteraceae
Description: 5.8S ribosomal RNA
Rfam family: 5.8S ribosomal RNA
About the family: 5.8S ribosomal RNA (5.8S rRNA) is a component of the large subunit of the eukaryotic ribosome. It is transcribed by RNA polymerase I as part of the 45S precursor that also contains 18S and 28S rRNA.
Source: RNAcentral
CAAACGACUCUCGGCAACGGAUAUCUCGGCUCACGCAUCGAUGAAGAACGUAGCAAAAUGCGAUACUUGGUGUGAAUUGCAGAAUCCCGUGAACCAUCGAGUUUUUGAACGCAGGUUGCGCCCGAAGCCUUUUGGCCGAGGGCACGUCUGCCUGGGUGCCACAC